This 327-nucleotide unclassified non-coding RNA is filed under the name fungal sp. Its description in RNAcentral is "partial internal transcribed spacer region". The stretch from base 1 to 46 matches the Rfam family "Eukaryotic small subunit ribosomal RNA", at positions 1786 to 1831 of the family's 1831-position model. Lineage: Eukaryota; Fungi. The record is from RNAcentral.
AAGUCGUAACAAGGUAACCGUAGGUGAACCUGCGGUUGGAUCAUUAAUAAAACCUUUGGGAACUCUGUUCCUGAACACUGUGUGCACUAUUGUCUGUCUCUGGCGGAACCAGGCGGGUUUGCUUUGGUUUUUGAGACUCUGGGUGUGUCCGGAAACGGGCUUGCUCGGAGCUGAUGGGGACCAGGGUGGGCUCUCCCUCCGCCGAAUGUUUUUGAACCAACCCAUGUCUGUAUGUUUUUGUCUGAUCUUGGUUUCUUGGUCUGUCGCCCUCUGGGUGUGCAGCUGAAAUCUUUAAAACAACUUUUGACAACGGAUCUCUUGGCUCUC